AUAUACAAAAUCAUCAAAAUGACAACAAAAUCUACAAAUUUAUAAAAACAAAAAAUUUACAGAAAUACACAAAUCUACUAAUUUCCCUAAUCUAAUUAAACAAAAACGUACAUGUUUAAAUGCAAAUCACCGCAAAAGAUUUGCCAAAUCAAAUUUCUAAUUUUGAUUACCGCCCAUUCACAGACAUUAAUAUUUGGUAUAUGAAGCCACAAUGUUGAACACCAGUCAACCAUGGACGGAUCUAGCGGAACUCAUCAUGGUAAUCAUAAUCUUCGUCUUCAUAAAAUACAGCGCUAUAGAAAACAUAUAUAUGGAUUUUCGAUCAUCUCUAUCAACCUCAUACGCCCAUCCUUAUCUGUAUCAGCCUGCAAAAUCCAAUAGUCUCGAAAUAAGUAGCUAGUCUUCCAGCGAAGGCUCAAGUUACAGGUUUUGUGAGGUAUAUCAAUGUGAGAGAGAGAGCGUAAUUGGGGAUGAAGAAGAUGGACGUGUGAGAGAUGGAGAGAUAGGAGAG
This 511-nucleotide long non-coding RNA is filed under the name Salvia miltiorrhiza (redroot sage). RNAcentral describes it as "long non-coding RNA (SMIL_LNC012756)". The record is from RNAcentral. Lineage: Eukaryota; Viridiplantae; Streptophyta; Magnoliopsida; Lamiales; Lamiaceae.